This is a non-coding RNA of Pelobates cultripes (western spadefoot toad), 389 nucleotides long. The record is from the annotation of a GenBank genome assembly. Lineage: Eukaryota; Metazoa; Chordata; Amphibia; Anura; Pelobatidae.
CUCAAAACAACCAUCAGCUGAAAACCUUUGGAAGUGGGUUCCAACUCGCCCUGCAGUUCAUUAUAAGCAACGGCUCCUGUGUGGUCAAUGUCUCCAGCAAUGAGGACUGUACAGCACUGUCUCACUGUCGAAAACAUUCAGAGACGAUCUGCACAGCAGCUCUGUAACUACAGCUUCACUCAUCCAUGGCUGUAUAAUAAUCCUCGCACUUAGCCAGGGCUGUAUAAUAGGAUACCCACUAAAAGCUGUGAUCAGAGCCCCAUCAUAUGAUAAAAAUGUCCUGUUUGUAGUCUUUUCCUGGUGUCCUUUACAUCGGAUCUUCCUCUGGUCACAAUCUGUGUUCACUGUGUUCUCUCUCACGUCUCUGCUGGUGAAUUGUUUAAUGUCUG